Molecule: ribosomal RNA, 119 nt
Filed under: Pteropus alecto (black flying fox)
Lineage: Eukaryota; Metazoa; Chordata; Mammalia; Chiroptera; Pteropodidae
Source: RNAcentral
GUCUACGGCCACGCCACCCUGAACACGCCCGAUCCCGUCUGAGCUCGGAAGCUAAGCAGGGUCGGGCCUGGUUAGUACUUGGAUGGGAGACCACCUAGGAAGACCAGGUGCUGUAGGCG